Molecule: ribosomal RNA, 1810 nt
Filed under: Solenopsis fugax
Lineage: Eukaryota; Metazoa; Arthropoda; Insecta; Hymenoptera; Formicidae
Description: eukaryotic LSU rRNA
Rfam family: Eukaryotic large subunit ribosomal RNA
Source: RNAcentral
CGUGUGACUCCACGUCCACUACUUUGAAACACGGACCGUUAUGAAUGGGUGUCGCGUCGCAUCCUACGAUGCGACUCGGCGACUCGUUCGCUACGCCGUUGAGCGCCACCACGACGAGACUUUGUUUCUCUCUCUCUCUCUUUUUUCUUUUUUUUUCCCCAGGUACAACGAAACUUUCAGACACAGCAUUGCCACGAGUCGGUGUCGAAAGACCGAAUGGCUCUUAUGUGGCGCGCACUACGAGAGUGUUGAUUACGCGGUCCUCCCUCGUUCUCAGACGAACGUGCUCGGCUGGAUCGUCGCGCUUACUGAACAUUAACUCCACGGAGACUAGUGGAAGGUGAUCUCUGCCACGCGGCGGACGAUCUCUCUCCCCGAUAACUUGUACGCCGUAGCGAAAUUUUCCGUAAACACGGACAAUCGUUCCUCGACUGAAGCAUGUCCUCGUCGAUCUCACGUUAGGGCAGAGCGGCUCUACAUGCUGCUACUAUUUUGAGAAUGAGAACGCGAAUUGCGUGAAAAGGCGUGAUCUUAUGCGAAAGACACGCCACGGGAGAGACUCCACGGAGCCUCCCAAUAAAAAUGAUUAUAUUAGAAACUGAGUGUCUGCGAUCUCGUCAUCUAAUUAGUAACGCGCAUGAAUGGAUUAACGAGAAUCCCUCUGUCCCUAUCUACUAUCUAGCGAAACCACUGCCAAGGGAACGAGCUUGAAAAAAUUAGCGGGGAAAGAAGACUCUGUUGAGCUUGACUCUAGUCUGGCACUGUAAGGAGACAUGAGAAGUGUAGCAUAAGUGGGAGAUGGCAACAUUGCUGGUGAAAUACCACUACUUUCAUCGUUUCCUUACUUACUCGGUUGAGCGGAGCGCGUGCCCCGAGGACUUCGUGCCUUGGCGGUCACGGUGUUCUAGAGCCAAGCGUGUCAGAGUGGCGCGAGGCUUUGGCCGAUCGCCGUUAAUACUCCUGCGUGAUUCGAUUCGAGGACACUGCCAGACGGGAAAUUUGACUGUGGCGGUACAUCUGUCAAAGAAUAACGCAGGUGUCCUAAGGCCAGCUCAUCGAGGACAGAAACCUCGCAUAGAGCAAAAGGGCAAAAACUGGCUUGAUCUCGAUGUUCAGUACGCAUAGAGACUGCGAAAGCAUGGCCUUUCGAUCCUUUUGGCUUGAAGAGUUUUCAGCAAGAGGUGUCAGAAAAGUUACCACAGGGAUAACUGGCUUGUUGCGGCCAAGCGUUCAUAGCGACGUCGCUUUUUGAUCUUUUGAUGUCGGCUCUUCUUAUCAUUGCGAAGCAGAAUUCGCCAAGCGUCGGAUUUUUCACCCGCCAACAGGGAACGUGAGCUGGGUUUAGACCGUCAUGAGACAGUUAGUUUUACCCUACUGAUGACUAGUCAUUGCGAUAGUAAUCCUGCUCAGUACGAGAGGAACCGCAGGUUCAGACAUUUAGUUCACGCACUCGGUUGAACGGCCGAUGGUGCGAAGCUACCAUCCGUGGGAUUAUGCCUGAAAACCUCUAAGGCCGUAUCCUCUCUAGUCAAAGGUAGCAAUGAUAUCUCUAGAAGUCUUGUGAGUCGAAAGGCUUAAAACAAUGUGACACUACUUGGCGGCCGGUCUUCAUGGGGACCAAUCGUCGCACGAGCCCGGUUUGCCGUACGGCGCCAUCGUCCGUCGUCGGGAUCUCGCCGAUACGACGGCACGGCGUCUAACGGUCUAGCAUGAGUCAUGCGCGUUCAAUGUCGAGACUCGGAAUCGUCUGUAGACUUAGAUACCUGGGGGGGGGGGAAUUGUUGUACUCGGUAGAGCAGUUACCACGCUG